This 1351-nucleotide ribosomal RNA is filed under the name uncultured candidate division SR1 bacterium. Its description in RNAcentral is "bacterial SSU rRNA". It matches the Rfam family "Bacterial small subunit ribosomal RNA". The record is from RNAcentral. Lineage: Bacteria; Candidatus Absconditibacteriota.
AGAGUUUGAUCCUGGCUCAGGAUGAACGCUAGCGGAACGCCUAACACAUGCAAGUCGAACGCUUUGUAGCAAUACAAGGAGUGGCAAACGAGCGAGUAACGCGUACUUAACUUACCCCCGAGUUGAGAACAACUACAGAGAUGUAGCUAAUUCUCAAUAUGCUCACGAUGGUGAAAUUCCAAUGUGAGGAAAGAUUUAUCGCUCAGGGAGAGGGGUGCGUCCUAUCAGAUAGUUGGUAAGGUAAUUGCUUACCAAGUCUAUGACGGGUAGCCGGUCUGAGAUGAUGUCCGGCCGCGAUGGAACUGAGAUACGGUCCAUACUCCUACGGGAGGCAGCAGUGGGGAAUCUUGCACAAUGGGCGAAAGCCUGAUGCAGCGAUUCCGCGUGAAGGAUGAAGCAUUACGGUGUGUAAACUUCUUUUUUGGUGGAAGACGAAUGACGGUACACCAAGAAUAAGGGACGGCUAACUACGUGCCAGCAGCCGCGGUAAUACGUAGGUCCCGAGCGUUAUCCGGAUUUACUGGGCGUAAAGUGUCCGUAGCCUGAUAUACAAGUCAGUUUUCAAAUAUUCCAGCUCAACUGGAAGAAGGGAAUAGAUACUGUAUAUCUAGAGAUUGUUAGAGGUUAGUGGAAUUUCCGGUGGAGCGGUGAAAUGCGUUGAUAUCGGAAAGAACUCCGAAAGCGAAAGCAGCUAACUAUAAUAAAUCUGACGGUGAGGGACGAAAGCUUGGGGAGCAAACGGGAUUAGAUACCCCGGUAGUCCAAGCUGUAAAUUAUGUCCGCUAGAUGUCUAUUUCCAACUCUGUUGGAAUGGGUGUCGUAAGUUAACACGUUAAGCGGAUCGCCUGGGUAGUAUAUUCGCAAGAAUGAAACUCAAAGGGAUAGGCGGGGGAACACACAAGCAGUGGAUUGUCUAGAUCAAUUGGACACUAAGCCAAGAAUCUUACCUAGAUUUGACAUGCAAUGUGUCUACGGUGAAAGCCGUAUAUUCGUAGCAAUACGAAGCUUUGCACAGGUGGUGCAUGGUCGUCGUCAGCUCGUGCCGCAAGGUGUCUAGUUAAGUCUAGGAACGAGCGCAACCCUCAUCAUUAGUUAGUAUGUCUAAUGAGACUGCCUCGGUAACGAGGAGGAAGGGGAGGAUGACGUCAGAUCCUCGUGCCCCUUACAUCUAGGGCUUCAUAGACAAUACAAUGGGUAGUAACAACGAGAAGCAAUACCGUGAGGUGGAGCAAAUCUUUAAACCUAUCCUUAGUUCGGAUUGUAGUCUGGAAUUCGACUACAUGAAGUUGGAAUUGCUAGUAAUGGCGAAUCAGCUACGUCGCCGUGAAUAUGUCCCUGUUCCUUGCACUCA